GAUGAACGCUGGCGGCGUGCUUAACACAUGCAAGUCGAACGGGAUCCAAGGGGUGCUUGCACUUUUUGGUGAGAGUGGCGAACGGGUGAGUAACACGUGAGUAACCUGUCCUUUUCUUUGGGAUAAGCAUUCGAAAGGGUGUUUAAUACCUUAUGUUCUGUCUGCCUCGCAUGGGGUGGGUGGGAAAGGCUUUGGCCGGAUUUGGGUGGGCUCGCGGUCUAUCAGCUUGUUGGUGGGGUGAUGGCUUACCAAGGCUUUGACGGGUAGCCGGCCUGAGAGGGUGGGCGGGCAAAUUGGGAAUGAGAUACGGGCCAGACUCCUGCGGGAGGCAGCAGGGGGGGAUAGUGGAAAAUGGGCGAAAGCCUGAUGCAGCGACGGCGCGUGGGGGAGGAAGGCCUUCGGGUUGUAAACUUCUUUUGCUCUGAACAAGGCAUGCCAGUGGGUGUGUUGAGUGUAGGGGUUGAUUAGCGCCGGCUAACUACGUG
RNAcentral lists this ribosomal RNA (485 nucleotides) under uncultured bacterium. RNAcentral describes it as "partial 16S ribosomal RNA". It matches the Rfam family "Bacterial small subunit ribosomal RNA", at positions 28 to 507 of the family's 1533-position model. The record is from RNAcentral.